Molecule: ribosomal RNA, 483 nt
Filed under: uncultured beta proteobacterium
Lineage: Bacteria; Pseudomonadati; Pseudomonadota; Betaproteobacteria
Description: bacterial SSU rRNA
Rfam family: Bacterial small subunit ribosomal RNA
Source: RNAcentral
GAGUUUGAUCCUGGCUCAGAUUGAACGCUGGCGGCAUGCUUUACACAUGCAAGUCGAACGGGGUGCGGGGGCAACUUCGCAUUCAGUGGCGAACGGGUGAGUAAUGCAUCGGAACGUGUCCCGUAGUGGGGGAUAACGCCGCGAAAGCGGCGCUAAUACCGCAUACGCUCUACGGAGGAAAGCAGGGGAUCGCAAGACCUUGUGCUAAGGGAGCGGCCGAUGUCCGAUUAGCUAGUUGGUGGGGUAAUGGCUUACCAAGGCGACGAUCGGUAGCUGGUCUGAGAGGAUGAUCAGCCACACUGGGACUGAGACACGGCCCAGACUCCUACGGGAGGCAGCAGUGGGGAAUUUUGGACAAUGGGGGCAACCCUGAUCCAGCCAUGCCGCGUGCGGGAAGAAGGCCUUCGGGUUGUAAACCGCUUUUAGCCGGGAUGAAAGCUCUACGGAUAACACCCGUAGGGGUUGACGGUACCGGCGGAAUAA